RNAcentral lists this ribosomal RNA (519 nucleotides) under Meliboeus sp. UPOL RK0814. RNAcentral describes it as "partial 16S ribosomal RNA". The stretch from base 382 to 519 matches the Rfam family "Bacterial large subunit ribosomal RNA", at positions 2473 to 2610 of the family's 2925-position model. The record is from RNAcentral. Lineage: Eukaryota; Metazoa; Arthropoda; Insecta; Coleoptera; Buprestidae.
CAUGUCCUUUUGAUUAUAAUUAAAGGUUUAAUCUGCUCAAUGAUUAUUUAAAUAGCCGCGAUAUUUUGAUCGUGCGAAGGUAGCAUAAUCAUUAGUUUCUUAAUUGGGAGCUGGAAUGAAUGAUUGGACGAGACAAAAUCUGUCUCUAAUUAAAUAUUAGAAAUUUAUUUUUAAGUAAAAAAGCUUAAAUAAUUUAAAAAGACGAGAAGACCCUAUAGAGUUUUAUGAUUAAAAAAUUAAUAAUUUUAAGAAUUAAUAAUUUUUAAUUUUAAAUUCAUUUAGUUGGGGUGACUAAAAAAUUUAUAAAACUUUUUUUUUGUAAAUACAGAUUUGUAUAUAAUUGAUUUAUUUAUUAUAAUUAUAAGAUUAAAUUACCUUAGGGAUAACAGCGUAAUUUUUCUUAAGAGUUCUAAUCGAAAGAAUAAGUUUGCGACCUCGAUGUUGGAUUAAAAUUUAAUUUAGGUGUAGAAGCUUAAAAAUUUAGUCUGUUCGACUAUUAAAAUUUUACAUGAUCUGAGU